RNAcentral lists this ribosomal RNA (954 nucleotides) under Triticum aestivum (bread wheat). RNAcentral describes it as "partial small subunit ribosomal RNA". The record is from RNAcentral. Lineage: Eukaryota; Viridiplantae; Streptophyta; Magnoliopsida; Poales; Poaceae.
AUGAUGAAGAAGACAAAUCACUUUGUAUGGAGUGAUGCUGCUGAUCAGGCGUUUGAGGCCUUGAAGAAACAGUUGGCUGAGCCGCCGGUUCUUGUUGCUCCCAUUGAUAUAGAUCCUUUGUUGUUAUAUGUGGUUGCCAACAGCCGAGGUGUCAGCGUGGCAAUUGUGGUGGAAAGGAAGGAGUCAGGUAAGGAAUAUCCGGUUCAGUGGCCGGUUUACUACAUCAGUGAGGUGCUCAUUGAGUCCAAGCAGAGGUGUCCGAAUUGGCAGAAGCUUGUAUAUGGGGUGUUCAUGGCUAGUCUUCCAAGCCGGUGGCGGCUCCCAACACGGAGCACACGACGGUUGAGCGCGGCGCGGGGGAAUGACAUCGUCCUCAAGAUUACGACACAACAAGCACGAGACCUCACUGCUGCCAUCUCCGACCUCUUCGGUCGUCGAGGUCGCCGCCUGUCACGCAUCCGUGCUGACCGGGGCGUUCAUCUUCAUCUGUGGCUCCGGCGCGAGUGCUCCUCUUGUGCCGCGGCAGUCGAUGCCGAAGCUGCCGCACCGUCCCACACACCCACCACUCCUCCACCUUCGCGGCGCAUAGGCAUGCACCGCCGCCCCGGGGCCCUCGUAGUCCCACUGGAGAGUCCUCCGUCGAGCAGCUGCUCCGGCCGCGUAGCAGCAGCGCUCGCGCUCGCCAGUGGCGCCUACAAUGGCGUUGCGCCUGGCACCCACCUCCGCGGUGGAUCCUCCUCCAGGACGAGAGCGGCGGGAGAUCUUCUCUUCGCCGGUGAUGCAGCCGGCCAGCCGGCGCUGGGGUCCUCCGCCGGUCUCUGCUGUGGAUUUGAGAUCCAAGUGACUCGGGAAUUGCUAGACAUGUUUAUUUCAUCUAGUCGUUCUCCCUUAUCUACUCGCUUUGACCAGGUCGAGGCUUCCUUACGUGGCCAUAUGCAUGCGCUGGGAAUUUAG